GCUUCAUAUGAAAAGCUUAUAGAAAAGCUUCCUCCAAUAUUUCACAUCGGCUGGGUGCCUUUUUGGCACUGGUGGCAGUGGCUGCUAAGGAAAAAGCUACUGUGCAUAUGCAGGAAAGCAAUUUUGCAAGCUCCAGCCCAGGGCACAGCAGUGCACACUUUGUGCAGUGGACCUGUGUGUGUGCAGCAUGCAUGGAGUGACACUGAAUCUCGAGGCGUGACAUCUGAUCUCUCUGCUAUUAUCAAGGCUCCCAUUUACUACAGCCACCAUUGUCUCAAAAAUCCUUAUGACGACCUCGUUGUGUAGAAAGGCACUUGUCAAAGUAAGCACCUUGAAUGGGAGCUGGGGCAGAAAUGGUGGGUAAAGCCCAGCAAAUAAAGAGCUUUGGCUGGCACUGACCUGCGGCUAGAGGUAAAAUGAACAGGAGGAGGAGAGGUGCUGCUCAGCAUUUGUACACCAUGAGAGCAGCAUGUGACUGUACUGGCAGAAGGCAGAGAAGAGAAGAACCUACUGUCACAGAGGAGACAAUGCUGCAAAGAGAGUACACUGCUGAAAGGCAAUCAUUAAAAAUUUGACCAGCUGUGACAGGGAAGACAUCAGGUCUCAUUUGGAUUGCCAUCCCUGGGCUUCUCCGCUGAAGCUCAGAGUCCUGGGACCCCUGUGGCUUUCCUGCUUUGGGGACACCAGCACAAUAAAGGUCGUGAGUAAAGAACAAAUGCAUUAUUACUGUUUAAGAAAUCUUCCUGAAUAUGCAAGAUUUUCUUUCUCAGAAGUGAAUGAAUUCCUCAUGAAAGGUGCUGUAUGGACAACUCCUUUUUAUCUUCACAAGUCCUGGAGAAACAGCAGUGGAUUCCCCUGCCUUACUUCACCCCUAGGCUGGUCCUCUCCAUGUGUCUCUCACAUAAGGAACUGUUUGAUUGCUCUCCAUUUCUGUUUCGAAAAUCCAAAGAAAUGGCAUUCAGAAGGAAGUUAAAAAAGGGGGAGAACAAAGGAACACAGUUUCUUGUACAAACUUUUGCAGACCACAGUUGUGGAUGUCCCUCCUGAAAUGGCACUUUCUGCUCUAUUCGUGCCAGAAGGCAAUUGGAACUUGUGUGAUUCUCCAUCCUCCUAGCACUUCAUAGAGACAUCUGACCAGAGACUGCUGAUGCACAGGCAGCUGGAAUAUGUGCUGUGGGAAUGAGUAAACAGAAGGGCCAGAAAUCCUCACUCUAGGGAACUGUGGAACUGAUACUGGAAGACUGUCAAGUCAGAAUAUCCUUAGAAUGAUAGGACAUGAGUUCAAGCCACACAUAAAUCCAGAUUUCAGAGUCUUGACCUCAGGUAAGACUCCGGAUUACAUGAAAUUUGUAAGAAAAGUACAGGAAAUCUACAGUGAUCUCAUGUAUUUAAAACCUGUUCUCAGACAAAGUAAGACAAAUUAGUUUCACCAGAAAAAAAAAAUCCUGGACAGGAUUACCAGAAUUUUGAAUGAAGAAAAUUUCAAAAAUCCAAGUUUAAGAAAUUACUUUACUUGAAAACUCUUUCAUGCUGAGGCAGGAUCUGAAUCUAAUUUUCACAGCCCUACAAAAUUAUUCUACAUAUAGAAGCUUAUCACAUACAUAAUUACCUUAUUCUAGUUUGUAUUCUAGAACAAACAUGUCUGCAUGAGACAAUUAUUCAGUAAGAAUGGUGCUUUUAUUCUUGAAUAAUUCCAUGUGCAGUCAAAGCCCUCAGUCAAACCAUCACAACUCUGUAUGUAGAUGAAUUGUCAGUCUGUCUCUGCUUGCACUUACAGAAAAUGUGUAUCUCUGUUACUAAAUGCAGCUGACAGAUCUGAAAUCGUCACGUUUGUGGAGUAGGCAUAGCUCUUACAAGCUCCCACCCUUAUUGGCCUACUAUUUCUGUGUCCUUUGGAGGUGUUACGAACUGCAUAUCCUUCAUAUUUUGUGUUCAAUGUCAUUAGCAAACUAAUAAAUGCUAUGGAGAGAAGGAAAAGUUUUUUCUUCCCUUGUUUGCCAAAAAGCAAGAGGAUUUUUGCCAAAAGGAAGAGUUUUUGAGUGUGACAAUGCUCCAUCAACUUUAUAUAUAUGAGCCCAGGAGAAGAAAACUGAGUUGCUUUCCUUUGAGAAGGGGAAGGAAAUAAAUAUUUGUCCUAGUUCACUAAAAAGCUCUUACAUAUUAGACCUUUUAACCAUAAAGACUUUAUUUUCUUCAUGCUUGUUUUUGUCACCUAUGUUUGCCUAAUUUUGUCAUGAGUACUCUCUCAAAGCCUUAAUAAAACAUUAAUGUCCAAGCCCCAGAA
Molecule: long non-coding RNA, 2284 nt
Organism: Corvus hawaiiensis (hawaiian crow)
Lineage: Eukaryota; Metazoa; Chordata; Aves; Passeriformes; Corvidae
Exons: 6
Source: RefSeq, a predicted model, not a curated record